UAGGGAAUCUUCGGCAAUGGGGGGAACCCUGACCGAGCAACGCCGCGUGAGUGAAGAAGGUUUUCGGAUCGUAAAGCUCUGUUGUUAAGGAAGAACGAGUGUGAGAAUGGAAAGUUCAUGCUGUGACGGUACUUAACCAGAAAGGGACGGCUAACUACGUGCCAGCAGCCGCGGUAAUACGUAGGUCCCGAGCGUUGUCCGGAUUUAUUGGGCGUAAAGCGAGCGCAGGCGGUUAGAAAAGUCUGAAGUGAAAGGCAGUGGCUCAACCAUUGUAGGCUUUGGAAACUGUUUAACUUGAGUGCAGAAGGGGAGAGUGGAAUUCCAUGUGUAGCGGUGAUAUGCGUAGAUAUAUGGAGGAACACCGGUGGCGAAAGCGGCUCUCUGGUCUGUAACUGACGCUGAGGCUCGAAAGCGUGGGGAGCGAACAGG
RNAcentral lists this ribosomal RNA (429 nucleotides) under Bacteroidota bacterium. Its description in RNAcentral is "Bacteroidetes bacterium partial 16S ribosomal RNA". It matches the Rfam family "Bacterial small subunit ribosomal RNA", at positions 355 to 776 of the family's 1533-position model. The record is from RNAcentral. Lineage: Bacteria; Pseudomonadati; Bacteroidota.